RNAcentral lists this long non-coding RNA (729 nucleotides) under Carica papaya (papaya). Its description in RNAcentral is "long non-coding RNA (CPAP_LNC014432)". Lineage: Eukaryota; Viridiplantae; Streptophyta; Magnoliopsida; Brassicales; Caricaceae. The record is from RNAcentral.
UUUAAUUUAAUCACGCAUGAUCAUAAUAUCUUUCCCCUCUUUACUUCUUUGAUCUCUUAAUAAUCAUAUGAAGCCCAUUCCCAAUUUUAUACCCAAUUUCCGGUUUAAAUUUAAUUAUUACUCAGCUCAUCUUUUAUUUGGGGCAAUGGCCCAACACUCCUCAAACGCCCAUUUCCGAAUUUGCUUUUAUUAUAUUCCGGCCCAAGUAAUUUCUAAUAAAAAUAAUUGAUUCAUACCAUUUUUCUCCUCUUAAUCAUUUUAAGUUGGGCCGCUCUUCAACCCUUUCCGUCAUCUUCGUUCUCCUCGACGCUCCUUUUUAUUUCAAGCUUCCUUCCCGCAUUCUAUCAUACUGCCCGUCUUCCUUCUGCGAAGAAACACCCGAAAGCUGCGGCAUCUCACGAGUCUGACCACUAUUCAGCGAGUCCAGGAAACAGAAUCUCGCCGAAAUCACAAUCGUAUCGCAAGUUCAUCUCUCCUUGAAGUUAGGGAUUUUAGUUCCUUCCAGCAGGUAACGCCUUAAUCAUUCAUUUAUCCUUGUUUGUCUUCCUAUUUCUGUUUAUGCAAGGCUGUUUGAGGUGUAUUUUCGAAAAAAAAAAAAGAAAAGGUAAAAGAGGCUUAGAACAGGACCCGUUUAUGAAUUUCCUCGUGUUAUUUUUCCCUUUUUUCUUUUUUCUGUUUCCUUUUCAUUAUUCUUCUUAUGAUUGUUUGUUAUCGGUUUGGAUGUGUCGA